RNAcentral lists this non-coding RNA (46 nucleotides) under Schistosoma curassoni. Lineage: Eukaryota; Metazoa; Platyhelminthes; Trematoda; Strigeidida; Schistosomatidae. The record is from RNAcentral.
AAACUGCUGAGGAGUCCCAAAAUAGGACGAAACGGUCGUCCAGUGC